CCCUUAGAUGUUCUGGGCCGCACGCGCGCUACACUGAAUGGAUCAACGUGUUUUCCCUUCCCGAGAGGGACGGGUAACCCGCUGAACCCCAUUCGUGGUAGGGAUCGGAGCUUGCAAUUGUUCUCCGUGAACCAGGAAUUCCCAGUAAGCGCAAGUCAUAAGCUUGCGUUGAUUACGUCCCUGCCCUUUGUACACACCGCCCGUCGCACCUACCGAUUGAAUGGUCCGGUGAAUUCUUCGGACUGUGGCUUUGGAUCGGUUUCGGCCGAGACGCUGCCGUGGGAAGUUGUUUAAACCUUACCAUUUAGAGGAAGGUGAAGUCGUANCA
This 328-nucleotide ribosomal RNA is filed under the name uncultured eukaryote. RNAcentral describes it as "partial 18S ribosomal RNA". It matches the Rfam family "Eukaryotic small subunit ribosomal RNA", at positions 1470 to 1796 of the family's 1831-position model. The record is from RNAcentral.